UCAUGUGGUUUUCCCAGGCCAGAGAGCUGUGAGUCUCAUUUGCAUCAGUAGCACACCAGCCCUUUGCCCUGGCAGCUGGUAGUUCAAUUCACUGUACCAGGCAGGAAAGCUGACAUUACACUUUUGCUCUCCAGAAAAGAUCUUGCUUUGAUCCCUGACUCCCUAUCUAUUGGAAAUUCACCCACAUGGGAAAUAGUUUCAGUGAUGUUUUCCUACCACAAAAAACAUUCUGCUGUCAUUAGUGCUGCUUAGGGAAAACCUGGCUUUCAGCAAAACCUCAUCAAACACAGGCUGUGAGCUGUGUCAAGUGUCAUGGUGCUAAGAGAUCGGAUACAGUAGGAUGCAGUGAUGGAAAAAUUGUAGGCAGCUGCCCCAACAGUUCUACUUCCCUCAAAUGGACACACAGGGCUGUCUGCAUGCAAACAGCUGCCCCUCCUUGCUCUUUAAAGGAAAGCAUUUUAACAAAUUACAAGGGGAUCAUGAGCAUGAUUCUUUCAAGAAAAAAGCCAUGGAGGAAGUCAUAGGAUUUUAAGUACACAUACAUUUUAAGUAUACAUACAUGUGUAGCUCUCCUCUGUGUGUAGAAGAAGGAGAAAGUAUGUGUCACACUGCAAACAAUGACAAAGGAUGGGAGCUCUCACCAGAAAUGAUAACCUCUAUAUCAAAAUGAUUGCAACUCCUUCUGUAUUUUCAGUUCUGCAGAGGAUGGACGAUGAACACACUCUGGGGAUGGAGUGUGCUCUCUACAGAGAAGACUGACUAUCGAUUUGAAUGUAGACUACUGAUAUUUUCAAGACUGAAUUCUCGUGGUGGUAAAGUCUAUGUUUGCAAGAUCCAGUCCUGCAGAUCUUCCAGUGAAUUUCAUCCCUGCUCAGUUUGCCUGAUUGCUG
Molecule: long non-coding RNA, 890 nt
Organism: Passer domesticus (house sparrow)
Lineage: Eukaryota; Metazoa; Chordata; Aves; Passeriformes; Passeridae
Exons: 4
Source: RefSeq, a predicted model, not a curated record